Non-coding RNA from Trichobilharzia regenti, 45 nucleotides. NCBI's taxonomy places the organism in Eukaryota, Metazoa, Platyhelminthes, Trematoda, Strigeidida, Schistosomatidae. The record is from Rfam.
AUCCCGGUGACGAGUCCCAAACAGGAGGAAAUGCACAUCCUGGGU